CAAAAUGGCAAGUACUAUUUCACAAAGAUGUUGCUUUCUCAUCCGAUGCAAAAAUAGAGGCCAGGUUUUACCUCCUCUAUUCAAAUCAUUACUAUCUCAACAUGGCCGUCACACAAUUACCUUCAUGCAUGGAACAAAACAAUGGAAUAUUACAGUAAAUGCUGACUCGUUUGGAGCAGGAUGGGAUAAAUAUUGUGAACAAAAUAUUACUAAUGAACAUCACAUACUAUUGCUUCGACAUAUUGGGAAUUUAUUUUUUGAUGUUAUUAAUUUUUGUGAAUUGCAAAUCUCAGCUGGACAGUCCCUCUAACCAACCUUCAUCUUCAACAAAAUUUUCAUGCUGAUCCGCCAAUUCAUGAAGAAAUAGUGACAUCUUCACUUCAACCUCAUUUUUCGCAAGAUUUAUCCACUUCAGUAUGCUUCUAUCAAAACUUUCACUCAGCCGACCCAUAUACAUUGAAAAUCCCACGAUUUGUUGACUACUUUCUCAAUGAACAAAAAACUCCACUUAUAGCUCUCAAAACUGGAGAUAACAUAACAGAAAUUGGAAUCAAAGGCAAGCGGCUCAAAAAAAAUUGGAAAGCUUUCAUUCUUCAACAUCAACUCCAGCACAAUGACGUCCUUAUUUUCAUUCCAGAAUUGAAGACCAUCUUUACUAUUUUAAUAUUUAACAGCAAUGGGAUGAAAAAAUUUUCCCUUGGUACCCUGUAUUUCAUAUCCAUUAUUAUA
Molecule: non-coding RNA, 729 nt
Organism: Coffea arabica (coffee)
Lineage: Eukaryota; Viridiplantae; Streptophyta; Magnoliopsida; Gentianales; Rubiaceae
Source: RefSeq, a predicted model, not a curated record